Molecule: long non-coding RNA, 483 nt
Filed under: Citrus sinensis (sweet orange)
Lineage: Eukaryota; Viridiplantae; Streptophyta; Magnoliopsida; Sapindales; Rutaceae
Description: long non-coding RNA (CSIN_LNC003595)
Source: RNAcentral
UUGUUUUCUCCUUUCUUCAACAGGCAACUCUCCUUAAUUCUCACAGAUUGAGCAGCAACAGUUAAGAUGAAAGCAUCACCUAUAUACUUUGCGCUGAUAUCCAUUCUCUUUGUAGCCUUUGCCUGUUUGGUAAGUGCCUUAAUUUUGAAAGAGAUAGCACAUCCUCAUUCUCAUCAAGUGUUUUACAUAAUAUCACUAUGCUUACGAGCCUUUUUGGCUACUAUUGCUUCGCUUGGUUUCCUUUUCUUUGCUCUUUUGGCUUGCUUCGAGGGCUUUGGAGAACGUAGUAGCGGCAACACUAUUGAAUCUGCAUCACAGCCACCAGUAAAGCCUAGCAAGAGCAAGAUUGUGCCAACAUCAACAUUACCACCUGAAUUUAGUCUGCAGAGUCCAAAUAUUGUAUAGAUCAGUAAUUAUAUAUAUAUAUAUAGAGAGAGAGAGAGAGAGAGAGAGAGAGAGUACUGAUAUAUAUGUAUAUAGGCA